GAUGAACGCUGGCGGCGUGCCUAAUACAUGCAAGUCGAGCGAACGGACGAGAAGCUUGCUUCUCUGAUGUUAGCGGCGGACGGGUGAGUAACACGUGGAUAACCUACCUAUAAGACUGGGGUAACUUCGGGAAACCGGAGCUAAUACCGGAUAAUAUUUUGAACCGCAUGGUUCAAAAGUGAAAGACGGUCUUGCUGUCACUUAUAGAUGGAUCCGCGCUGCAUUAGCUAGUUGGUAAGGUAACGGCUUACCAAGGCAACGAUGCAUAGCCGACCUGAGAGGGUGAUCGGCCACACUGGAACCGAGAAACGGGCCCGAAUCCUAAGGGGAGGCACAGUAGGGAAUCUUCCGCAAUGGGCGAAAGCCUGACGGAGCAACGCCGCGUGAGUGAUGAAGGUCUUCGGAUCGUAAAACUCUGUUAUUAGGGAAGAACAUAUGUGUAAGUAACUGUGCACAUCUUGACGGUACCUAAUCAGAAAGCCACGGCUAACUACGUG
RNAcentral lists this ribosomal RNA (497 nucleotides) under uncultured bacterium. RNAcentral's name for it is "partial 16S ribosomal RNA". It matches the Rfam family "Bacterial small subunit ribosomal RNA", at positions 28 to 507 of the family's 1533-position model. The record is from RNAcentral.